AUGCAGGAACUCAACCAGUCCACCGUGACAGAAUUCAUUCUAUUGGGCUUUGCCCCUAACCCCAGGACCAACCCUCUGCUCUUCACCUUCUUUCUCAUCUUUUACCUGCUCAUCCUUGUGAGCAACAGCCUCCUUAUCACUCUUAUCCACCAGGACUCCCGCCUGCACACACCCAUGUACUUUUUCAUCAGUGUCCUCUCCAUGCUGGACAUGUGCUACACAGCCACCACUGUGCCCCAGUUGCUCGGGCAUAUCCUCAGCAAGAAGAGGGCCAUCUCUUUUGCUAGGUGUGUCGCCCAGAUGUACAUCUUCCUCCUCUUUGGGGUCACUGAGUCCUGGCUCUUCUCCAUCAUGUCUGUUGACAGGUACAUGGCCAUCUGCCACCCUCUCCAGUACAAGGUCAUCAUGAGUCGCUGGAUGUGCCUCCUCAUGGUGGGCAUCUGUGCAGCGUACGGUGUGGUGGGUGGCCUGUGCUAUACCUUCUUUGUUGUGCGCCUGCCCUACUGUGGCCCUAAUGUAAUUGACCACUACUUCUGCGAGGUCUCUGCCGUCCUGAAGCUGGCCUGUGCAGACACAUCCCUCAAUGACUUGGUAGACUUCAUCAUGGGCUUCAAUGUCAUCGUGGUCCCCCUGACCCUGGUUAUCAUCGUUUAUGCCAACAUCUUUGCCACCAUCAUGAAGAUCCGCUCAGCCCAGGGACGGAACAAGACCUUCUCUACCUGUGCCUCCCACAUAACUGUGGUCACCAUUUUCGCCAUUCCAUGCAUCAUCAUGUACAUGAGCCCUGGCUCUGACUCCUUGUCAAACAGUGGCAAGAAAAUGGCCCUUUUUUAUAACAUUGCCACAGCCUUCCUCAACCCUGUCAUCUACAGUCUGAGGAACAAGGAUCUGAAAAAGGCUUUCCUCAAACUUGGGAUGGAGCAGGACCCCAGAGUAA
Odobenus rosmarus divergens (Pacific walrus) is the source of this 937-nucleotide RNA transcript. It is a transcript of the gene named olfactory receptor 2D2-like, with no coding region annotated. The record is from RefSeq and is a predicted model, not a curated record. Lineage: Eukaryota; Metazoa; Chordata; Mammalia; Carnivora; Odobenidae. The transcript has a single exon.